Molecule: ribosomal RNA, 1439 nt
Filed under: uncultured organism
Description: 16S ribosomal RNA
Rfam family: Bacterial small subunit ribosomal RNA
Source: RNAcentral
CAGGCUUAACACAUGCAAGUCGAGGGGCAGCAUGGUCUUAGCUUGCUAAGGCCGAUGGCGACCGGCGCACGGGUGAGUAACACGUAUCCAACCUGCCGUCUACUCUUGGACAGCCUUCUGAAAGGAAGAUUAAUACAAGAUGGCAUCAUGAGUCCGCAUGUUCACAUGAUUAAAGGUAUUCCGGUAGACGAUGGGGAUGCGUUCCAUUAGAUAGUAGGCGGGGUAACGGCCCACCUAGUCUUCGAUGGAUAGGGGUUCUGAGAGGAAGGUCCCCCACAUUGGAACUGAGACACGGUCCAAACUCCUACGGGAGGCAGCAGUGAGGAAUAUUGGUCAAUGGGCGAGAGCCUGAACCAGCCAAGUAGCGUGAAGGAUGACUGCCCUAUGGGUUGUAAACUUCUUUUAUAAAGGAAUAAAGUCGGGUAUGCAUACCCGUUUGCAUGUACUUUAUGAAUAAGGAUCGGCUAACUCCGUGCCAGCAGCCGCGGUAAUACGGAGGAUCCGAGCGUUAUCCGGAUUUAUUGGGUUUAAAGGGAGCGUAGAUGGAUGUUUAAGUCAGUUGUGAAAGUUUGCGGCUCAACCGUAAAAUUGCAGUUGAUACUGGAUAUCUUGAGUGCAGUUGAGGCAGGCGGAAUUCGUGGUGUAGCGGUGAAAUGCUUAGAUAUCACGAAGAACUCCGAUUGCGAAGGCAGCCUGCUAAGCUGCAACUGACAUUGAGGCUCGAAAGUGUGGGUAUCAAACAGGAUUAGAUACCCUGGUAGUCCACACGGUAAACGAUGAAUACUCGCUGUUUGCGAUAUACAGCAAGCGGCCAAGCGAAAGCGUUAAGUAUUCCACCUGGGGAGUACGCCGGCAACGGUGAAACUCAAAGGAAUUGACGGGGGCCCGCACAAGCGGAGGAACAUGUGGUUUAAUUCGAUGAUACGCGAGGAACCUUACCCGGGCUUAAAUUGCAGAUGAAUUACGGUGAAAGCCGUAAGCCGCAAGGCAUCUGUGAAGGUGCUGCAUGGUUGUCGUCAGCUCGUGCCGUGAGGUGUCGGCUUAAGUGCCAUAACGAGCGCAACCCUUGUUGUCAGUUACUAACAGGUUCCGCUGAGGACUCUGACAAGACUGCCAUCGUAAGAUGUGAGGAAGGUGGGGAUGACGUCAAAUCAGCACGGCCCUUACGUCCGGGGCUACACACGUGUUACAAUGGGGGGUACAGAGGGCCGCUACCACGCGAGUGGAUGCCAAUCCCAAAAACCUCUCUCAGUUCGGACUGGAGUCUGCAACCCGACUCCACGAAGCUGGAUUCGCUAGUAAUCGCGCAUCAGCCACGGCGCGGUGAAUACGUUCCCGGGCCUUGUACACACCGCCCGUCAAGCCAUGGGAGCCGGGGGUACCUGAAGUGCGUAACCGCGAGGAGCGCCCUAGGGUAAAACUGGUGACUGGGGCUAAGU